CCUGUUAGUCCAGGAGGUUCAACCUCCUGUGGUUGAUUAGAGAAAAGCGAAAAUGGAUAUAUAAAAUGUAUGGAUAUAUAUAUGAAAUAUGUGUGUAUGUAUAUGUGAAUAUAUGUAUAUGUGGUGUGUAUGAAAUUAGUGUGUAUGGAUGUGUGUACGUGUAGCGUAUGCGUGGGCUCGCUUUCCCAAUGACAGUAGGGCCCCACGACUCCCACCAAAUGACACGUGGGGUCCCUCCUAAAAACGUGCAAAAUAAAAAGUAAAAAUAGUUUUAUAAUUAUUUAAUAUUAAUAAAAAAUUAUUUGGAUUAAUUAAUUAGUUAAGCAGUAAUUACUAUUUUGGAAUAAUUAAGAUUUGAUAAUAAUAAAAAUAAUAGAUAAGUAAUUAUUUAGUUAAUUGAAAUGUUUAAAGAUUUGGUAAGUUAAUUAAUUAAAACUGUUAGCUAAGUCUCUUAACUAAAAUAAAUUAAAUAACCUAAACAGUGUAUGACAGCUCGGUUCCACCCCACUAAUUAAUUUGAUUAAACAAUUAUUUAACUCUAUUAAUAAUUGUGCCUAUGACACAUGGGACCCACUGGUCAUAUUUGACCAUUCAACACAUUUGUUGACUGAUGAUGUCAUGCUGACCUCUCGCUGUUGUCAUAAUUGCAUUUAAUUGAAUUAAUUAAAUCUGUUUUUGAUUCCUAAAUAUUGAAUAAAAUUUAAAAA
RNAcentral lists this long non-coding RNA (707 nucleotides) under Hordeum vulgare. RNAcentral describes it as "long non-coding RNA (HVUL_LNC019340)". The record is from RNAcentral. Lineage: Eukaryota; Viridiplantae; Streptophyta; Magnoliopsida; Poales; Poaceae.